Molecule: non-coding RNA, 45 nt
Organism: Schistosoma mattheei
Lineage: Eukaryota; Metazoa; Platyhelminthes; Trematoda; Strigeidida; Schistosomatidae
Source: Rfam
AUCCAGUUGACGAGUACCAAGUAGGAUGAAACGCGUGUCCUGGAU